AUGCCGUGUCCGGGCUGCAGAGGGUGCUGCUGGAGCCACAAGACAAAGAUUCCUAGAGAGGCGAGGACUUUAAAAGGCGGUGUCCUGCCCAAGGGCACCUCUACGCUUUUCGUACCUCUGGAGAGCCUGCCUGCCUGCCUGCUGCAAUGCUGCAAGAGGACACCCAGGCAUUGGUGUGCCGGUUUUACGCCCUGCAGAGCGAGCGGGUGGAGGCGUAUCACCUCUUCGAGGAGUGAGUACCCAUUCCCUGCUCUGCUCCCCGUGCCGGAAGCCCCGGGUUCGAAAUCCAUCGCGUCACCCGGGGCUCUGCCGCGGUUUGGAAAGGGAAACCGUUGUCCAAAGGUGGGAAGCCGGUGGGGUUCUCUAUGGCCCAGGGGCUUCCCAGUGGGUGCUCCCUCGGCCCUAAGCCCCGGUCUUCGUCGGAUGGGGAAAGAAGCCCUGCUGGAGGCCAUCAAGGCCCCCCCCCCCNGCUUUCUCCCCACCACUCUGGGCUGCUUUUCUGGGUCCUUGAUGAAGUCCAGAUGAGCGAAAAGCCGUCCCAGCGCCCGGCCCACCUGUCUUCCAUUUGCGAACCAAGCCUGGGGUGGGGAGGGGAGGGGAGGGCGGCGUUGGCUUCUGGGAAUCGAGAACCAAAUGCGUGACCCUAGCCCCUGACCCCCCNCCCCACCCCCGGCGGCCCCCACCGCUUUGGUGGUGCAGGGCGAUGUCGGGGGCACCUCCCUGCCCGAAAGCACCUCCGGGAGGGGAGAAGGACGGCUAAUUCAAUAAUGCGUUUUGGAAACCCCGCUCGGGANGAGCACGUCCGGCUGUUUGCCGCUCCGGACGGAAGGUCCGAGACCAGGCCGGUGGCCGGAAUAGCCAAAAGAAACACCCGCGAGGCAGCGUGGCCACGGCAAGCCCUCCGUGUUGUGAUCGAAUUGCUGCGCUGCGGGCUGAGGGGAGCCUGGCGGAUUGCUACGGGGAGAUAUUCCUGCGGUUCCGGAGCCACCAGCAACAAGGCCCGGUUUCCCACCUUGCCUUUGGGCGGUCCUACAGAUGGGAAAUCUGCCUUAUGACUGAGGGGAAGAGACGGUUCUUCACACCAAGGAUGGGUUUCAGCAUGUUUAUCCUUUAGUGGGGCUUUCCUUUGGCCAGGCUCAGGAUUACUGCGCAGAGCAGGUGUUUGGUCCCCCGUGGUCUCUCCCUGCGGGCAGAACGGCAAGGGGGCCAUCCUGGCAAAGCACCUGCCCCCUCACGCCCCUUUCUUGCCUCCCAGGGGCCACCGGGCGUACCUGCGAAGCGCCCCGGCCUACGACUUCCUCCGCUACCGCCAGCUGGUGCACGAGAUCACCCAGGCCUUCAGUGGCAUCUCCCGGGAGAUCCUGCAGAUCCGAGAGCAGCUAGCGGGUGCCCACGGGCGCGCAGACCUGGCCGAGCACCUGGGGCGCCUGCAGGCGAAGGAGAAGGAGAAACUGGAGCUGGUGAGAGGAGGGAAAGACGGCGGGGGGGGGGGCGGUGCGUGUCCCUGG
Molecule: long non-coding RNA, 1508 nt
Filed under: Salvator merianae (Argentine black and white tegu)
Lineage: Eukaryota; Metazoa; Chordata; Lepidosauria; Squamata; Teiidae
Description: lncRNA (ENSSMRG00000008039.1)
Source: RNAcentral